This is a long non-coding RNA of Oreochromis niloticus (Nile tilapia), 1714 nucleotides long. RefSeq lists it as uncharacterized. Lineage: Eukaryota; Metazoa; Chordata; Actinopteri; Cichliformes; Cichlidae. The transcript has 3 exons. The record is from RefSeq and is a predicted model, not a curated record.
ACUAACUGCAGCCCUGACGUUGUUUCCAGAGUGUUGGGGAAACGAAUGGAGGGAGUGGAGUGUGUGUUUUUUACAUAGGCACCAAAAGGAUAAGGAUAAUCACCACGGACACUGGAGAAGUCACAGCACGGGAGCGGGGAGGCGUCCUGCAUUUGGGUCCUGCUUUCACAUCUCUGACACCAGCACCCUGAGCCCUUAUGCUAAGUGCAAGGAAGGAGGCCAAUGACUAAUGGAGUCAUGGUGGCAUCAUUCAGGUAAAGAUGACUUGGACUGACAGGCCUGCUGAGGACACACUGGGACAGUCUCACAUGCAGAAAUACACGUGUGCACGCACACACACACACACAUAUACUCACACAUGCAUGCAUGCACGCACACACACAGACACAGACACAGACACACAUACACUUUUUACAUGCCUCUUAAGCAUCACCUGUAAAGAGUGAUUUCUCUUGACUUAAAAAAAACUGUAUAUAUCCAUUUAUUUUUUAGUUUUAUUUUAGGAAUGAUAAACUGUUUUGAUUAAAAUCUCUGCUAAAGUGUAAGCUGUGAUUUAAAGAGAGACUGCAAAAUCACUUUAUCAUUAGGAAAAAGUUCACAAUACUUCUUUUAGGCUUCGUUGUGUACAACUGACUUUUGUCAAACUAUUCUCAAUUGUACACUCAAUUUAUACAAGAGUCUUUAGCUGUUGUGUAAAUGGAGUUAUUUUGGUAUUGUAGUGACAAAGAGGCAACAACUAACUAUUAAAACAGUUAAAACAACAGACUAUUGGUUAAUUUGUGUGUGUCAGGGGCCUCAUUUGUAUUUCUACUUUUUUCAUGUAAAUUUUUGAAUUUGAGCUUUUAUUGCAUAUUGUUGUUUUAGAACGCCUGUGACAUAAGAUGCGAUAUUCACAGAAGGGGAAGCUUUGCUAUUUCUAAAUUAACCCAACUGGUUGGUUGAGUCAUCCGUGGGGUGAGUGGUUGAACAGGCUGUCUGGUGGGAAAAAGCGGAUGCCGACACAAUGUGCCACACAUGGCUCUCUGCAGCCCUCUGUAACAGUGAGGUUUGCAGUGCAGAAGGAAUUUCAAAUUGUAUGAAAUUUUGGCAAAAUUCUAAAGAUAAGUAAAUGCUCGAGGAAAUAAUAAAAUUAGUUAUUAUUAAUUGUCAGUUUUUACCAUAGAUCUUGCUCCACUGUUGACAAGCAAAUAUGUAAAUCUACAGAUUUUAGAUUAACAUGAUACCAUUUCAAUGUCUGAUCUUUAAAAUGUUUGCACUUCUAUCCAAGGAUUGGAAUUUUCCCUAUACUUCUUACAUCAAAAUGGCAAGAGUAAAAUAGCACACAACUGUCAGUUAGUUGGUUACACAACACAAAACGACAAAUACAAGUAAGUAAAUGUGAUAUUUAGAAAUUUUUGUUAUGUCCACACCCUGUAAAAAUGGUUUUACUGAGCUCAUCAUUUCACAUCAUCACAUUAUUUCUCUGUUCUAGUUUUGAGGUGAUGAAGUACUGAGGAUAGCAGCUCUCACACCCUGCUGCUGCCCCAUCUGGCCCCUCAGUGUAACUCUCGACCACAGUCACUACAGAAACUGUGACCCAAUCACCUCUGCCCAGGGAUCUCAUAACAUCCAUGGCAACCGAUUUGUCAGCAGACCAAUCAGCCAGUCAUUUCAGCCAGAUGAACAUGUUUGCAUAGGCUGAUUGCAUGUUCUUGGUCACUAACAAAGUUUCAGA